This 481-nucleotide ribosomal RNA is filed under the name uncultured bacterium. RNAcentral's name for it is "partial 16S ribosomal RNA". It matches the Rfam family "Bacterial small subunit ribosomal RNA", at positions 28 to 507 of the family's 1533-position model. The record is from RNAcentral.
GAUGAACGCUGGCGGCGUGCUUAACACAUGCAAGUCGAACGAAGCAUUUAGAACAGAUUACUUCGGUUUGAAGUUCUUUAUGACUGAGUGGCGGACGGGUGAGUAACGCGUGGGUAACCUGCCUUGUACUGGGGGAUAGCAGCUGGAAACGGCUGGUAAUACCGCAUAAGCGCACAAUGUUGCAUGACAUGGUGUGAAAAACUCCGGUGGUAUAAGAUGGACCCGCGUCUGAUUAGCUAGUUGGUGAGAUAACAGCCCACCAAGGCGACGAUCAGUAGCCGACCUGAGAGGGUGACCGGCCACAUUGGGACUGAGACACGGCCCAGACUCCUACGGGAAGCAGCAGUGGGGAAUAUUGCACAAUGGAGGAAACUCUGAUGCAGCGACGCCGCGUGAGUGAAGAAGUAAUUCGUUAUGUAAAGCUCUAUCAGCAGGGAAGAUAGUGACGGUACCUGACUAAGAAGCUCCGGCUAAAUACGUG